Molecule: ribosomal RNA, 253 nt
Filed under: uncultured bacterium
Lineage: Bacteria
Description: partial 16S ribosomal RNA
Rfam family: Bacterial small subunit ribosomal RNA
Source: RNAcentral
CACGUAGGGCGCGAGCGUUGUCCGGAAUUAUUGGGCGUAAAGAGCUCGUAGGCGGCCUGUUGCGUCCGCUGUGAAAGCCCGGGGCUUAACCCCGGGUCGGCAGUGGAUACGGGCAGGCUAGAGGUAGGUAGGGGAGAAUGGAAUUCCCGGUGUAGCGGUGAAAUGCGUAGAUAUCUGGAGGAACACCGGUGGCGAAGGCGGCAUCCUGGACCGAUAUUGACGCUGAUGCGCGAAAGCCAGGGGAGCAAACGGG